UACGAAGGGUGCAAGCGUUACUCGGAAUUACUGGGCGUAAAGGGCUCGUAGGUGGCCAACUAAGUCAGACGUGAAAUCCCCAGGCUCAACUUGGGAACUGCGUCUGAUACUGGAUGGCUUGGAUUCGGGAGAGGAAUGCGGAAUUCCAGGUGUAGCGGUGAAAUGCGUAGAUAUCUGGAGGAACACCGGUGGCGAAGGCGGCGCUCUGGACCGAUACUGACGCUGAGAAGCGAAAGCCAGGGGAGCAAACGGGG
This 254-nucleotide ribosomal RNA is filed under the name uncultured bacterium. RNAcentral describes it as "partial 16S ribosomal RNA". It matches the Rfam family "Bacterial small subunit ribosomal RNA", at positions 524 to 777 of the family's 1533-position model. The record is from RNAcentral.